Long non-coding RNA from Corapipo altera (White-ruffed manakin), 796 nucleotides. RefSeq lists it as uncharacterized. Lineage: Eukaryota; Metazoa; Chordata; Aves; Passeriformes; Pipridae. The transcript is spliced from 2 exons. The record is from RefSeq and is a predicted model, not a curated record.
AAAAUAACUGUAAUUGCCAGUAGACAAACCUGGUUUUUAAAUAGCCUCGUUUCCCAAAACUAGCCAAUACUCUUUAAAGGGAAGUCAUCAGUAAGGAUAGUACCUGUUAAAAUAAACAAGCUUUUUAAUUUAGUUUCCUGAGGUAUUUAAUGAGUGAUUUUAAUCUUUCCCUCCACAACACUUACGGGAAAGACCUAAUUUAGACCGGAUUUCUUAUUGUAAUGGCUCAUUCAAAAUGUGAGGGGAUGGGAUGAGGGGAGAAAAAGCAGGUAUUUUAUGUUGAAACACCAACAGAACAACCAGCCAACAGAACUAAGUGUUGAAUCCUGCUUCUUCUCAGCAUGUACCUACUGAAUUUUAAGACCAGAACUCUUUUGGAAUUAUGGAAAUCCCAAUGCUAAUUUUGCUGAUUUCACCUGAGAAAAACAUCCUUCAUUAUUUCCCAUCUGUAAUUCUGAAAGAGGAAUUUAAUUAUACUGUGUGGGGUUACCUGUUUUGCAGGUGUGCAGUCACUGAGACUAUGGCUCUAGCAGUCUUCUGCUGAAGUCCUAAAACAUCUGAUGCUGUAUUUGCACAAAAACAGGGCUGUGUUUGAGCAAGGUACUCAGUAAAAGUGUAGUAUUUAAACCUAAGACAGCAAGUUUGAUCAUGGGAUAUUAUCUAGAAGAAAUGUUAUAGUAGAAGAUUUUAUGGUUCUCUGACACAGCACCAGACUCAGCAGGUGUAGAACAAUCUAUUCAGUCCCUGUGUGCAAGCCAUGAUUUGUCUUUGUCAAAAAGGUUUGAAAAAUGGUAAA